RNAcentral lists this unclassified non-coding RNA (243 nucleotides) under Hevea brasiliensis (rubber tree). The record is from RNAcentral. Lineage: Eukaryota; Viridiplantae; Streptophyta; Magnoliopsida; Malpighiales; Euphorbiaceae.
AUGAGGAAGAACUCGGGUCGCUCCCAAGUCCAGCGGAAUCGUGGUCCCCGCUUUGUUUUCGAACAAGGUGAGAGCCGCAUGCCGCUGGAGGCAAAGGUGACUAACGUCGCCAACAAACCAGGUACCACCGCCUCCACGGUGGGCAUGAAGACGCUUUCCGGAGAGCCGGAGCACCUUCGCGUCUUCUGGGACAGUUCAUCACGGUGAGCUCCCCAGACAAGGAGGUGAGCUUCAUUGUCGGGC